This 253-nucleotide ribosomal RNA is filed under the name uncultured bacterium. RNAcentral's name for it is "partial 16S ribosomal RNA". It matches the Rfam family "Bacterial small subunit ribosomal RNA", at positions 524 to 776 of the family's 1533-position model. The record is from RNAcentral.
UACGUAGGGGGCAAGCGUUGUCCGGAUUUAUUGGGCGUAAAGAGCGUGUAGGCGGCUUUGCAAGUCCGUUGUGAAAUCCCGGGGCUCAACCUCGGAACUGCCUUUGAUACAGCACGUCUCGAGUCCGGAAGAGGUGGGUGGAAUUCCUAGUGUAGAGGUGAAAUGCGUAGAUAUCGGGAGGAACAUCAGUGGCGAAGGCGGCCUUCUGGUCCAGUACUGACACUCAAGUGCGAAAGCGUGGGGGGCAAACAGG